This 935-nucleotide long non-coding RNA is filed under the name Rattus norvegicus (Norway rat). RNAcentral's name for it is "long non-coding RNA NONRATT013118". Lineage: Eukaryota; Metazoa; Chordata; Mammalia; Rodentia; Muridae. The record is from RNAcentral.
UGCGUCACAUCACGCAGAACACAGAACGCUAAAGCUAGGAUCAGAGCAGUAUUCCAGAGGCCAGCUAGUGAAGAUGACAGGCGAUAUCCCUGGAACGUCUCUAGGUGUUGCAGUCAGUCCCAAGAGUAGGCAUCUCCCCCGCAAAUGCACCUUUUAUUUCUCUCCGUUUGGAGGCUAUGGGGGCCACUUGGAAAUUGCCCUUAUCCUACCGCUUAGUUACCAUGGGUUUCUGUGUCCCGCAGCCCCCAAUCCGUCUGUUUUAUCGAGUGGUCUGAUGAGCUGCAGACAGACCAGGACUCAUUCACUCUGCAGCGGGUCCUGAUAAAACAAAAAAGUCUUCUGCCUCCCAGAAUGAAAGACUCCUCAAGGGGACUAGAGAAGCUGAAUUACUACCCUUCGCUCACUAAAAUGAUGGUGAAUUUGUUUUUAGUACAGGGAGAACAUAUGCUCACAACUGGGUGUGCACUGUAAACCUUCAGAAAGCACUUUCUUCCCAGCCUGGGUGACAGCUUGAAGUUCUCAGUACUUGAGCAGGGUAGGGAUUGUUUGACUUACAGAGAAGGGCGGUGGAUUCACAAACUGGAGAGACAGAUCAAAACUGUAACAGUCAAACCGUGUUUCGUAAGUUUACAUUGUACUCGUGUUAACUUACUGUGUACUGUGCAGCUUUGUUCAGAAACCUUUUUAUAGGCUUUCUUAGCAAAAAAAAAAAAAAAAGGAAAAAAGUCCGUAUCCGUGGAUAUUAUGCCUCAAUCUUCUGUACAUAUGUUUUAUUAAUAUGUAAAUAUUCAGAUUUUUUAAAAUUAUGAUGUUCUUUUAAAAGAAUUCAAUGCAAAGCUAGUUGUGAAAAUGGUGUGUAACACUGUGUUGUGAUUUCAACUCCCAACAUGCCCUUUAUGUCCAUUCUGGAAAAAUACAAUAAAUUACUUUAAUCG